Molecule: ribosomal RNA, 440 nt
Filed under: uncultured bacterium
Lineage: Bacteria
Description: partial 16S ribosomal RNA
Rfam family: Bacterial small subunit ribosomal RNA
Source: RNAcentral
CCUACGGGAGGCAGCAGUGGGGAAUAUUGCACAAUGGGGGAAACCCUGAUGCAGCGACGCCGCGUGAGCGAUGAAGUAUUUCGGUAUUUAAAGCUCUAUCAGCAGGGAAGAAAAUGACGGUACCUAACUAAGAAGCCCCGGCUAACUACGUGCCAGCAUCCGCGGUAAUACGUAGGGGGCAAGCGUUAUCCGGAUUUACUGGGUGUAAAGGGGGCGUAGACGGCUGUGCAAGCCAGAUGUGAAAGCCCGGGGCUCAACCCCGGGACUGCAUUUGGAACUGUGUGGCUGGAGUGUCGGAGAGGCAGGCGGAAUUCCUAGUGUAGCGGUGAAAUGCGUAGAUAUUAGGAGGAACACCAGUGGCGAAGGCGGCCUGCUGGACGAUGACUGACGUUGAGGCUCGAAAGCGUGGGGAGCAAACAGGAUUAGAUACCCCUGUAAUC